GCACCCGUAGCUCAGCCCGGAUAAAGCGUUGGCCUCCUGAGCCAAAGGUUCACAAGUUCUAAUCCUGUCGCCCUGUCGGGGAUGCCA
This 87-nucleotide transfer RNA is filed under the name Gammaproteobacteria bacterium. Its description in RNAcentral is "tRNA-Arg". The stretch from base 6 to 70 matches the Rfam family "tRNA", at positions 6 to 65 of the family's 71-position model. Rfam says of the family: Transfer RNA (tRNA) molecules are approximately 80 nucleotides in length. RNAcentral also lists the same sequence under 1 other name. Lineage: Bacteria; Pseudomonadati; Pseudomonadota; Gammaproteobacteria. The record is from RNAcentral.